This 373-nucleotide ribosomal RNA is filed under the name uncultured organism. Its description in RNAcentral is "partial 16S ribosomal RNA". It matches the Rfam family "Bacterial small subunit ribosomal RNA", at positions 527 to 896 of the family's 1533-position model. The record is from RNAcentral.
GUAGGUGGCAAGCGUUGUCCGGAAUUAUUGGGCGUAAAGCGCGCGCAGGCGGUUCUUUAAGUCUGAUGUGAAAGCCCACGGGCUCAACCGUGGGGGGUCAUUGGAAACUGGAGAACUUGAGUACAGAAGAGGAAAGCGGAAUUCCACGUGUAGCGGUGAAAUGCGUAGAGAUGUGGAGGAACACCAGUGGCGAAGGCGGCUUUCUGGUCUGUAACUGACGCUGAGGCGCGAAAGCGUGGGGAGCAAACAGGAUUAGAUACCCUGGUAGUCCACGCCGUAAACGAUGAGUGCCAAGUGUUAGGGGGUUUCCGCCCCUUAGUGCUGCAGCUAACGCAUUAAGCACUCCGCCUGGGGAGUACGGCCGCAAAGGCUG